AUGCCUCCUCAUAAGAUAGAGACUGGGCACCAGGAUAUGGUGCAUGACAUCGUGAUGGAUUACUAUGGGAAGCGCCUCGCCACUGCAUCCUCUGAUAACACAAUAAAGAUCAUUGGCGUAAGUGGCACCUCGCAGCAGCAACUUGCUACUUUGAGCGGACACCAGGGCCCAGUUUGGCAAGUCGCGUGGGCUCAUCCUAAGUAUGGUUCCAUGCUUGCAUCCUGCAGCUAUGAUGGGCGGUUUAUAAUAUGGAAAGAAGCGGGUAAACCUGAUGAGUGGACACAGGCUUACACUUUCACUGAGCACAAGUCUUCUUUAAAUUCCAUUGCUUGGGCGCCUCAUGAACUCGGUAUCUGCUUGGCUUGUGGUUCAUCUGAUGGGAACAUUUCAGUCUUCACAGCUCGUUCUGAUGGUGGGUGGGAGACGACGCGCAUCGACCAGGCUCAUCCAGUGGGCGUGACCUCUGUUUCCUGGGCUCCGGCGAUGGCCCCUGGUGCCCUAAUCAGCCCAGGGCCUUCAGGGCAGUUUGAGUAUGUUCAGAAACUUGCUUCUGGUGGUUGUGACAACACUGUCAAGGUGUGGAAGCUCACCAACGGGAGCUGGAGGAUGGACUGCUUCCCAGCCCUUCAGAUGCACGACUGGGUGAGAGAGGUCGCCUGGGCUCCAAACCUUGGCCUCCCAAAGUCCACAAUCGCCAGUGCCUCUCAGGACGGAACUGUUGUCAUCUGGACAGCGCCGAAAGAAGGCGAGCAAUGGGAAGGCAGAGUUCUGAAUGAUUUCAGAACCCCUGUUUGGAGGGUGUCGUGGUCACUGACAGGAAAUAUACUGGCGGUCUCUGAUGGCAACAACAAUGUGACCCUGUGGAAAGAAGCUGUGGAUGGCGAAUGGCAGCAGGUGACUACCGUCGAGCCAUAG
RNAcentral lists this ribosomal RNA (915 nucleotides) under Triticum aestivum (bread wheat). Its description in RNAcentral is "partial small subunit ribosomal RNA". Lineage: Eukaryota; Viridiplantae; Streptophyta; Magnoliopsida; Poales; Poaceae. The record is from RNAcentral.